GGAUAAUGAUGCUUAGGGGACCUGAGUCUCAGGUUGUGCUGGUCAUCCUAAGAGAACACGGACACAUUUCUUCUUUCUAAAUGCAAGUGUAUAAACCUGACAAAGGGGCUUGAUUGGCAGCUGCUUUAGCCUUCUUCUCUCAAGCCCCUGGAGAGGAAGCAUCCAGCACAGGCUCAUCGUCCUACUGCAGGGGCCUGAGGCUUUUCUGCCAUGUGGGAAAGUGAAGCUUCACCACUGGUUUCCUGGGAGAUAAGAAAAAGUACGCUGAC
This is a long non-coding RNA of Lemur catta (Ring-tailed lemur), 269 nucleotides long. RefSeq lists it as uncharacterized. Lineage: Eukaryota; Metazoa; Chordata; Mammalia; Primates; Lemuridae. The transcript is spliced from 3 exons. The record is from RefSeq and is a predicted model, not a curated record.